RNAcentral lists this long non-coding RNA (539 nucleotides) under Phoenix dactylifera (date palm). RNAcentral describes it as "long non-coding RNA (PDAC_LNC014894)". Lineage: Eukaryota; Viridiplantae; Streptophyta; Magnoliopsida; Arecales; Arecaceae. The record is from RNAcentral.
AAGUUGGAUUGAAGUCUUGCAUAAGGGCACAUAAUAAGCAUACAUUCUGGUCUACUAGCUGUAUGAUAAAAUAAUUAUUCUAUCAUGCUUCAAUACAGCUUUAAACAAUAGAUCUACUUUGUUCAUCCCUUUUCAAAUUCUACAAGAUGGGGUCAUAGAUAUACCUUCUUCAUGCCAAUCUUCUAUAAGAGUUUUCUUGUGGACUAACGUUGGUCAAUGAAGAUCCCCUUUCCUGUUUGUCUUAAUUUGGAGUUUGAGAGAAGAUGUUAAUUCAUUCAUCAUAUUUCAAACUCACUUUGCAAUAUAACUCUUCAUUAGUAGAACCAAAAAUGAUGCCAUCAAUGUGUGCUAUGAGUAAGCAAGAUAUCAUAGAUUCUUCUUUUGAUGCAAAGAUUUGUCACUAUUACUUUCUAUCAAAGAGGUUGCUUAAGCUUUUAUAUCAUGCUUUUGAUGCUUGUUUCAAAUCAUAUAUUGCUUUAUCAUAUUUGUAAUGAGUGUUUUCAAAUAUGGUGGUUAUUUAACAUAUAUCUUCUUUAAUA